CCCUUCUGUCUGCCGACCUGCCUGUAUUUGGGAGAAGGGACCCGCCCACCUUAAUAAAGACUGGACCUUCUCUCUUCCAAUCCAGACAAAAGAAGAGGACGACAGAUCCGCGGCGGCGCGCACUGAGCAGAGCAUCUGAGCACCUUGGAGACUCCACGGGUUUGAUCCGACGCGCAAGAACGCACCGGCACAUCGACACACACGCCCCCAGGUCCACCUGAAACAUCCAAGGCGGUUCAUUGUCCUGUUUGAAGGCAGAGGAAAGAGAGUUUGAGACCCGGUUCAAUCGCAGCCAGAACACCGUGUUCCCAUGAUGUCAUACCUGUGGAUUCUGCUAUUAGGAAGCCUGCUGGCUGCAAGCGCCAAGGCACAAGAUGUAGACCCAGCAGAGGACGCAGCAGCUUCUGUAACUACGGCCCCUGAAGUAGACGCAGCACCAGAGGCUAAGGAAGAACCUGCCGCUGACGAGAAAACUGACAAUGCACCCGAGGAAACACCAGCAUUGACAGUCGAUCCUGAGCCCGUUGAUGAGAAUCGAGCCGAUGAAUUUGAAAUUGACGAAGCAGUGACUCCUGCUCCAGGAGACACAGAGGCGGAAGCACCUGCGACAACACAAGAGCCUGCAGCUGAGCCAGAGGUUAAGGAUCCUAAUGCUGAGGAAGCUACUGGAGAGGAGGAAACUACCCCAAGCACUGUUGCACCACCAGCUCAGGAGGAGAUUGAACCUGAAGCCACACCAGCAGCAGAUGUAGAUGUAGCAGAUAAUAAGGAAAACCCAACAGAUCCUGCUGCUGACGCACAAACAACAAACACCCCCGUCCACGUCCACGUCCCUACAAUUGAAGUGAAUGCUAUUGUUCCUGUGGUGGAAGGAGAUGUAAGCUUUAACUUGGAUGACGCUCUGGAUUCAAACCAAGCAGCAGACAACUCAGGAAAAAGCCGCAGUUUUGAAUCUGGGGCACAUGCUGCAGGCGCCAAAGGAGAUGAAGCCAAACCUGAAGCACAAGAGUCCAGCUCCGGGUCUGUAGUAGGCAUCCUCUGUGCAGUUGCUGUGGCUGUAGUAGGAGCAAUCGUUGGAUACUUCACCUAUCAGCAUAAGAAGCUGUGCUUCAAAAACAGACAAGAAGCGGAUCCAGAAGCUGCACGCAAAGCUGAUACCACAGAGGUGCAGUCAGAUCCCCAGGUCCUUAGCAACCUGCUAAACUCCGCCUAGAUCAGCAAUGAUCACAUGACAGCCUGGACCAACCACCGGCAAACAAAGCGGCAACAAUCUCACUGUCAGGCUCUACCUUCUGCAGAGCUAAAUUACUGUGAGGCCCCACUGUAGGGCUCUGUGUGUGUGUGUGCGUGUGUGUGUGCGUGUGUGCGUCCGUCUGCACUUGUGUGUUCAGUCUUGUGUGUGUGCAUAUAUGUUGGGAGUAAAUAUAUGUGAAUCUUGGGGGUUUAAUGAUUGUUAAAACAUAGGAAUUAAAUUAAAACUUGGACUAACUUUCCACUUUAAACCAAAUCCAAACAUUUUUUCAAAGAGUGGACAUGAAAGAGAUUCAAUCUCAAAUUAACCAUCAAAUGGCUAAAUUAUAGAAAUACCUUUUUUUUAUAUGGAUACUAUCUAGUUCUAGUAAUUCAAUGUGAAAAUAAACCAGUGACAGUUAUUGAUGUUGUAGAGGUUUAACUUUGUACUGAAUUCUUAAAAGUAGAUUUUGUUUUCUGCUAAUUCUGUCAUUGUUUGAGCCAUCAAUAUGGUUUUGAAAAUCCACUGGCAACAGUCACUUAAGUAAAACAUAUUUUUCUUUGUGUAAUUGUCUGCAGUAAAAAUGCAGACUAGAUGGUGGCUUCAAUAACUACCACUGUAUUUACUGGUCAGGAAGAAUAGUUUAGGACUAUAAUCCUAGGAUUCAUGGUCCUAUGUGUGUUUGGCCACUGAUGUCACUGUAUGUGUGUGUUUGUGUUUGUGUUUGUGUGUGUGUGUCUUUUUUUAGUUGGUGAAGGGGCUUAGUUUUAAAUCCUGUUGGGGGACUGACCACUUCUCCUCACUCAGUUCAAUAAAUCAGAGUAAAAUUUCCAAUUAAACACAAAAAAAUCCAAAUGAUACAAAAAUAUAUUUUAAAUUGAUUAAACUAUUAAAAUGCACAUAAAUAUUUUGACAAUCUUAUAUGAACAUUUAAAAUGAUAUAUAUACAUUUUAAAAAUGUGCUGAAGUGAGUUGAAGUGAAGUCCAGCCCAAUCCAGUUUCUGUCAAUGGAUGAAUGAUCACCUGACAUGGACAAAUUCAAAGCGGUCAUGUAGUAACGUAUUAGACAUUGUUCUGAUGUAGUAUGUGUCCGUCUAGUUGUGAUGCAGUAAUUUCUCCUCUAUAGUGCCUUUCACUGACACAGCCUGGCUUGACCAAUCUACCGACACACAGGGAAAAGAACAAUAAAAGUGAAAACAGGCAAAAUAGUAGUUGAAUGUAUCAAAAACAUACUAGACAAUUGACGAAUGUAUGAUCUUAAUUGAUUCAUAAUCAUUUUAGUGGUUGAAAAGCCUCACCCUGAACUGCUUGUGUAUGUGAAACUGUUACAUUAUUGUAACAGCUGCUGUAUAUCUGUUUGCAGUUUUAUUUUAUUUAACUAAUAUUGCAUUCCAAACUCUUUAAACAGCCUCACAUUUCAGCAGUAAAAUCCUCAUUGUGUGUCUCUUUAUUUGAGCAAGCCAGUUGCUGUCACAGUAUUUUUGUAUCAUUCAUAUUUCCAUGUUAAAAACACCAUUCACCUGUGAUUUUUUAUAUGAAUUUUACAUUUAGCAGCAGUCAACUUGUUUGCUGUGGUAUUUUGUGAUUAUUAUAGUGAAAUAGGCCCAGAAACAGCACUACAGCAUUAAAAAAGAAAAGCCUAACAUUUCUUUUUUUGCGGCUGUAGCACAACACAUAUUAACUUCUGAAUGUCUUUUUGUUGCCUUGCAGUUUUGUACUUGCUCUGCUCCUUUUAAACCUUGACAUAGGGUUAUAAAGUUUGUAUAGUGCUGCAGCAGUUUAUGUAAAGUGUGUUACUUGUAAAGCACCAUAUAGCUGCAAUACAGGACAGAGACUGUUGCUAACAGCCUAGCCUCAAGAUGAGAAAUAUAAUAGUCUGUGAUGUCACUUAUCGACUAAUCCUACUGUGUAAACUGUGGGCUGGACGCAGGGCCAAAGAUCUGUUUAUAAUGCCUUUAUCUUGUAAUCUGUGAUAGACUGAGUUUCUCUUGACACAUUGGAACCAAGUGGAUAGUGUGUCUGAAAUCUCUUACUGCAUCUGCUACAAUGGCAUGGAGUGAUAUUGCACAAAAUGCUCAAUAAAUAACAGUACAAGCUUUCAGAUAUAGUCACUGAUGCCUUCAAAACAAAACAUCCUCCUUUUUAAUGCAGUACUCACCUCCUCCUUUGUGCACUCCAAUAAGUGCUAUAGGAAUCAAACAUUAUGGUCUACUUUACAUUAAGCUCCAAGCUGUCACAUUCCUUGUAAGCAAACUAUUGAAGCAUUGCAUCCAAACCAGAAUGUAAAGCCAGGGACAUUGUAGACUUAUUGGGUCCUGAAGUGCACUUUCCAGAUAAUGCUAAGGCAUCAAUCGUGGCACAAAGACAGUGCUGACCAGUCCUGCCUUAUAACGCUUCUUGACUAUUCCAGAGAGGAAAACGAACAAAAUGUCAUCAUCAGAAAGUAAACAAGCAGAGAUGUUUUGCAGGUGAUUUUAAUAGCACAAUCUCUAUGGGAGAAGCACUUUCCUAUCCUGUAUACAUCUUGAUUUGAUAAACAUAUUUAGACAAUUCAUUUUUGAUUUAGACUAGUGUCUCCUUUUUAUUUAAAUACUCAGUUUUUAUUUUGUGUAGGAACUUUUUCUUUCUUUUUUGUCAUCUGGCACUUGUGUUGUUCUUCUGGAAUUGUGUAAAUAAUGUUUGAGGAGUCAAUUAAACCGUUUUCGUGGGAGUUGGAGUUUCAUUUCCCUGAUAACUAUUUGUGUCUGGUAUGUGUGCAUGUAACACAGUAGGCCAUAAGGACUGAUGUCAGGGUCACUGAUAAAGCUCCGAUAAAGGCUGUAUUUUUACAGUUAGGAUAUAAACAAUGCUUACAUAAUUUAUCAUUUUGAUUGAGAAACACCUUAAUGUAAAGAGAGACAGAGCUACACGCAACUGCAC
Molecule: long non-coding RNA, 4150 nt
Filed under: Cottoperca gobio
Lineage: Eukaryota; Metazoa; Chordata; Actinopteri; Perciformes; Bovichtidae
Description: lncRNA (ENSCGOG00000014236.1)
Source: RNAcentral